UGCUUGGGGUCAAAUGGAGAAAGUGUCAAAAUGCUCUGCUCUCCCAGUCUGAUGAGCUGGACAGUGUUCGAACUUCCAUUACUCUCUGAAGUAAGAGCAACCUUAGGGCUGGAGCCUAAGUAGAGGCCAGGAAUAGUAACAAAUUUGAACUCUUCUAUAGUUGACUUCUUAGUCUUCAAAAACGAAAAGUAGCUUUUGCUGAUUUAUUAAACCCAAAGCACAAGACAAAAAAAAAUUAUAUCAGACCUUCAGUCAUCCAUGUUCUGAGUCAUGAGAGUAGCAAUUUAUUCACACCAGUUCAGAAGAGUGUGAAAAUGAAGAACCC
RNAcentral lists this long non-coding RNA (325 nucleotides) under Gallus gallus (chicken). Lineage: Eukaryota; Metazoa; Chordata; Aves; Galliformes; Phasianidae. The record is from RNAcentral.